GGACCUUCAUAGUUUGGGGUUCACUUGCCCCUGGAAUCGAGCGCGAAAGACAAGACUUUCUUGAGCACAAGGUCACCUUCUCGGAACACACGAGGCUUAACCUUCUUAUUGAAUGCUUUCUUCAUUCUCUGCUGAUAUAACUGACCAUGACACAUGGCAGUUGAUCUCUUCUUUUUGAUCAGAUUCAGUUGGUCGUAACGACUCUGAAUCCAUUCAGCAUCAGUCAACUUGGGACUUUGAGGGUGCUAUUUCUCUUUUGCUUCUUUCUUUCUUUUUCCUUGAUUUUGAUUUUGAUUUUGAUUUUUUUUUUUGAUUUGAUUUUCACCCUCCUCUUUUUUCUUUUUUUUUUGUUUUGAUUACAUUUGUAAUGCC
This 372-nucleotide long non-coding RNA is filed under the name Lathyrus oleraceus (garden pea). Its description in RNAcentral is "Pisum sativum (pea) long non-coding RNA (PSAT_LNC032554)". Lineage: Eukaryota; Viridiplantae; Streptophyta; Magnoliopsida; Fabales; Fabaceae. The record is from RNAcentral.